AGCUGCGGCUGCAUUCAGUACCUGUCAACAUUUUCACGAUAAGUCGGGAUUGGGAUUAUGUGAAAUAGAGAAGCUCGGUCCAUGAAGUUCCCACCAGUCCAGGGUCCGGGGAAGUGUUGGAUUUUUUAGAGGUGUUUGGUCUUCCGUUAUUAUUAUCAUGUGCAAAGUUGAAGAAAAGCUACUUAGUACCAAACUUGUGCUGAGUUGUAUCAAUGAAUAUAAGAACAGAGGG
Long non-coding RNA from Ipomoea nil (Japanese morning glory), 232 nucleotides. RefSeq lists it as uncharacterized. The transcript is spliced from 3 exons. Lineage: Eukaryota; Viridiplantae; Streptophyta; Magnoliopsida; Solanales; Convolvulaceae. The record is from RefSeq and is a predicted model, not a curated record.